CAUAACUGGAGCAGCUUGCGAACAGCCUCGCCCGGCCAAUGGAGAAUCAAACUCCUUCCGAACUUCCUCCACAAACACCGAACUUCCUCCCACACCAUCAUGGCCCAGGCGAGUGCCCUCCCGGACAUCAGCGUAAUGAUGUACGCGGUCCGAGGGGAACGAAGGCUGCAGCUCAAAAAUGAGGGAGCACUGGGAGAGAAAAGCCUGUCCGGUUCCAGAAUCUUCAUCGUAGCACUCUGGAGGAGUGUGCAGGUGGUGGGGGUCAGGGAGGUGUGUGGGGUUUGCCUCCUCAGUGGAGGAGCCCUGAGCCUCUGUUUCCAGUGUCUACACCUGCUGUCACUUCCCAAAGUUGGUCAGACUUCAAAAACUCAGGAGCAGAGCUACUCUGAGACCAUCCUACACAAGUAUGAACUAGACUUCAUCGUGGGAGACCAGGGCUCCAAAGAUGGGGUCCUCCAGAGGGCUUUCCACAACACUUCCAGGCCUCUCUCAGAUACUCGGGGCAACUUUCAAUGGAACACGCACACACGAGUUUAGCAGAACUCCAAGAUGGAUAGACUUUUGCCAAGCAGGAGAAAGAUGUUUUCCCCCUCCGCCAGUAUUUGGUUGCUACGGUGACCUGCUCCUCAAGGCCCCAAAAUAAGGGGUGAGGAAUGCGGUGCUGUGGAAGUUAACGAUCGACGGCUCAUGAAAGAAACCCUCUAUAUUUGGAGACUCUGAGCGGGACCACGCUUCACAGUUGGCAGCGAUAUUGUUUUUCUUGACAGUGUUUCAGCUUUGAUGGAUGAUAAUGAUGAUGUAUGUGUGCCAACAUUGAUUUGUAAUUAUGAACGUUGUAUGUGUGGGGUUGUGCUCUGUUGUGCUGCCAGUGCGCAAGUAUAGCUGAAGAACACAUUUAAGACACCUCUAGGUGGCACUCAUAUGUCAAUCAAUCUAUGAAAGGCCCAACAUCAUGUAAAAACUGUCAUGAAACAUUUGUUACAUUUUCUCAAUGUACAGGACCAUUGGGACUCAAUGUCUUUAUAGGAGGCCCAUCAAUAGACUGACUCUGAAGGAGAGAGAAUGGGGGAAACUUGCCAAGGCACAAGGUAGGGGGAUGUUGCCAUUCCUUUCAUUUCCAAAACAAACAUGAGAUGUGAACAUUGUGAACCAGAUGGGUUUAAUGUAUCUGGUAUUCGAACAAGAUCAGGCCAGGAUAUACUCUGGCUCUGUUCAGCUCUACAAACCUCUGUCAUGUUUUCACUAUCAGGACUCUCAUAACAAAGCCUCCAUUAACACUUUAUAAAGCCUAUAUAGAUUGUGCCGAAAUCAUUCAUAAGUACAUGUCAUGGGUGGUAAAAAGAGUCAGGCCACAUUUGUCAAAGAACUACAUAUUGUUAUGUCUCUCUGCAGAUUAAAGGCUACUGAUUAUGUCAGCCUUGCUUGCCAGGUUUGAGACCUACAGCAAUCUACAUACUGUAUGUGCAUUCGGGAAGUAUUCAGACCCCUUGACUUUUUCCACAUUUUCUUACGUUACAGCCUUGUUCUAAAAUGGAUUAAAUCUUUUUUUGUUUUCAUCAAUCUACACACAAUUCCCUAUAAUGACAAAGUGAAAUUAGAAAUAUUUGCAAAUGUAUUAAAUAUAAAAACAGACAUCUUAUUUACACAAGUAUUCAGACCCUUUGCUAUGAGACUUGAAAUUGAGCUCAGGUGCAUCCUGUUUCCAUUGAUCAUCCUUGAUGUUUAUACAACUUGAUUGGAGUCCAACUGUGGUAAAUCCAAUUGAUUGGACAUGAUUUGACACACCUGUCUAUAUAAGGUCCCACAGUUGACAGAGCAUGUCAGAAAAAAACAAAACCAUGAGGUUGAAGGAAUUGUCCGUAGAGCUCCAAGACAGGAUUGUCACAGAUCUGGGGAAGGGUACCAAAAAAUGUCUGCAGCAUUGAAGGUCCCCCAAAACUCAGUGGCCUCUAAUUCUUAAAUAGAAGAAGUUUGGAACCACCAAGACUCUUCCUAGAGAUGGCCAAUCUGAGCAAUUGGGUCAGGGAGGUGACCAGGAACCCGAUGGUCAUUCUGACAGAGCUCCAGAGUUAAUCUGUGGAGAUGGUUGUCCUUCUGGAAAGUUCUCCCAUCUCUGCAGCACUCCACCAAUCAGGACUUUAUGGUAGAGUGGCCAGAUGGAAGCCACUCCUCAGUAAAAGGCACAUGACAGCCCGCUUGGAGCACCUAAAGAUUCUCUGGUCUGAUGAAACUUUAGCCUAAAUGCCAAGCAUCAAGUCUGGAGAUGACCAGGCACCACUCAUCACCGGCCCAAUACCAUCCCUACGUUGAAGCAUGGUGGUGGCAGCAUCAUGCUGUGGGGAUGUUUUUCAGCGGCAGGGACUGUGAGACUAGUCAGGAUAGAGGGAAAGAUGAACGGAGCAAAGUACAGAGAUUCUUGAUGAAAACCUGCUCCAGAGCGCUCAUGACCUCAGACUGGAGCAAAGGUUCCCCUUCCAACCAACGACCCUAAGCAUACAGUCAAGACAACGCAGGAGUGGCUUCAGGACAAGUCUCUGAAUGUCCUUGUGUGGACCAGCCAGAGCCCGGAAUUGAACCGGAAUUAACAUCUCUGGAUAGACCUGAAAACAGCUGUGCAGUGACGCUCCCCAUUCAACCUGACAGAGCUUGAGAGGAUCUGCGGAGAAGAAUUGGAGAAACUCCCCAUAUACAGGUGUGCCAAGCUUGUAGUGUCAUACCCAAGAAGACUCUAAGCUGUAAUUGCUUCCAAAGGUGCUACAGCAAAGUACUGAGUAAAGGGUCUGAAUAGUUAUGUAAAUGUAAUAUUUCAGUUUUUUUUAUACAUUUGCAAAAAUGUCUAAAACCUAGUUUUUGCCUCGUCAUUAUGGGGUAUUGUGUGUAGAUUAAUGAGGAGGAAAAUAGAAUUUAAUCAAUUUUAAGGCUGUAACGUAACAAAAUGUGGAAAAAGUUAAGAGGUCUGAAUACUUUCCAAAUGCACUGUAGGUUACUGUUUACAAAUGCCCAAAACUGCUCUACUCCCUCUACCACUGAGAAUCUUUCUGGUUCAACCCUACGCUUAAGUCAUCUUGCUUUUGAAAGAAAUGUUUCUCUGACAUUUUUGUUUCAUGUUUGGGUUGUGAGUUGAGACAAAAUGGGGCUGUGUGUGUGCACAUACAGAGCUGCUCUCUCAUUCACCUUCUCAAGAUGAGCUUCCACCACAUCCUGUCACUGUGUUGUCAUUCAUGGCCCUGGAAUUCGUUGGAAUAAUAUGAUAAGUGAAAUUCCCACGAUAGGCGUCCUCUUUUCACAGCUUUAGGACAUUCCAGAGAAUCUGCACAGCCAUUUGGCUGUGAAGAGAUCACAUGGGUGUUCCUGUUGUGCCAUGACUGAUCUGAGGAGGAUGAGGGGAGCUUGACUUCCAGGCAUGACCCCUCUUUUCCAAUACCAUUGUUAUGGAGAGGAAGUGGUGCUUAUUGUCUUUGCCCCUGUGGGCCCAGCCUAGGCUACUAGGGUUAGGGUCAGCCUAAAAUGGGGCUAGGGUUAGGGUCAGCCUAGGCUGGAAUUAGUGUUAGGGUUAGCCUAGGCUGGGGUUAGGGUUAGCCUAGGCUGGGGUUAGGGUCAGCCUAGGGCCUAGGCUAUUGGGGUUAGGGUUAGGGUCAGCCUAGGCUGGGGUUAGGGUUAGGGUCAGCCUAGGCUGAGAUUAGUAUAAGGGUUAGUCUAGGCUGGGGUUAGGGUCAGACUAG
Long non-coding RNA from Oncorhynchus tshawytscha (Chinook salmon), 3722 nucleotides. The record is from Ensembl. Lineage: Eukaryota; Metazoa; Chordata; Actinopteri; Salmoniformes; Salmonidae.